Cydia strobilella is the source of this 820-nucleotide long non-coding RNA. RefSeq lists it as uncharacterized. NCBI's taxonomy places the organism in Eukaryota, Metazoa, Arthropoda, Insecta, Lepidoptera, Tortricidae. The record is from RefSeq and is a predicted model, not a curated record. The transcript is spliced from 3 exons.
UGGGUUUGGCUGCGACCCGAACACGGAUCACUUUGCCGGCCGCAUAAAUUCGUGCUCGUUUGUUUCUUUAUUAAAAGCUGACGUCAUUAACGCGGUUUUGGUGUGUGAUUACGAUUACGAAUUGAGUCGAUAAGCCAGCAAGUGCCUUAAAGUUGCAUUGUCUCACUAACUUUGUCAUAAGUUGGAAAUGCUGAUAAGUUGUCAUGUAUUCGGCAAAUUACGGCCUUCAUUUUUUAUUGAUUAAUAAACUAUUGCAUUGUUAUCGAUACCUAGUUAUCGGGCUUGUAUUGCAGAAUGCCCUUUCAACAUGAAUUCAGCCUUGUUUGCGGACUGUUGGCGGGUAUUUUCAAUGUAAAGUUGUGCAGCUUUUGAAGUUAAACGAAAAGUGAAUAGGCAGGCAAACUUGUGCAUAAUAUCUGUUUGUAAUUAUGGAGUUUGUUGUAAGUUGUAUUCAACAUUGGACUAUUAUAAAGUGCCUAACAACUACGGCCUUGUUUUGCAAAAGUUAGUGGACGUUAAAUGCGGACGGCGGAGCCGGGGCGGCGUGCUGUAAGGCACAGGCGAUGCCCACUACCUGAGCCGUGUUCGGCGGCGGUGCAUGUACGCGGCGGCGGGCGGCGCGUCGCUCGCGGGCCGUAAGGCGCGCCAGCACGGCCGCCAGCCCGCGCCGCCGAGCCCCGGGCACAGCCCCCCGCACCCCGCGCCGACCGGCGUCCGCGCCUAUUCCUGCCAGCACUGGGAGUCUCGGCUCCAAGCGCCGCCGCCGCGCCCACUCUCCACCGCCGUCUCCGAGCACUCGGCGUGCGAUGUCGUCGAGGUA